Molecule: unclassified non-coding RNA, 400 nt
Filed under: soil metagenome
Description: partial contains 5.8S ribosomal RNA, internal transcribed spacer 2, and large subunit ribosomal RNA
Rfam family: 5.8S ribosomal RNA (bases 1-122)
Source: RNAcentral
GAUGAAGAACGUAGCGAAAUGCGAUACUUGGUGUGAAUUGCAGAAUCCCGUGAACCAUCGAGUCUUUGAACGCAAGUUGCGCCUCAAGCCAUUAGGUUGAGGGCACGUCUGCCUGGGCGUCACAUAUCGUUGCCUGAUGCCAGUUUCCUCGUGAUGGGUGACUGUGCAGGGCGAAUGAUGGCUUCCCGUGAGCAUUGUUGCCUUAUGGUUGGUUGAAAAUUGAGUCCUUGGUAGGGAGCGCCGUGAUAGAUGGUGGUUGAGUGACGAACGAGACCCAAUCAUGUGAGACCCCUACCGAAUUUGGCCUUCAUGACCCACAUGCGUCUUUGGAACGCUCAUGACGAGACCUCAGGUCAGGCGGGGCUACCCGCUGAGUUUAAGCAUAUCAAUAAGCGGAGGA